Molecule: long non-coding RNA, 13664 nt
Organism: Orcinus orca (killer whale)
Lineage: Eukaryota; Metazoa; Chordata; Mammalia; Artiodactyla; Delphinidae
Exons: 2
Source: RefSeq, a predicted model, not a curated record
GUUGAGAGUCCGCCUGCCGAUGCAGGGGACGCGGGUUCGUGCCCUGGUCCGCGAAGAUCGCACAUGCCGUGGAGCGCCUGGGCCCGUGAGCCAUGGCCGCUGAGCCUGCGCGUCCGGAGCCUGUGCUCCGCAACGGGAGAGGCCACAGCAGUGAGAGGCCCGCGUACCGCAAAAAAAAGAAGGCAGUCUGUCUUGCGGGAUCCCUGCCAGGACUAAAGGAGAUGAUGGUGUCCUGUACCUGGUGGGCUCCCUACGCGGGGGCAGGGCUUGUUAUUUUGGAAGCGAGCCCAAAGCCAAGGAGCCCUUUCACAAACUCUUCUUCCCCUUCUCUACCCAGAAGGCAAGGUGGUAACGACUUCCUGUUCAUUUCCACAGCCCAGAGUUGCCCAAACUCGCCUGAUUCUAGGAUUCACCCGAGUACCUGUUACUUGUUAAAUACCGAUUCUCGGCCGCCGCCCCAGAACUUCUGAACCAGAAUGGCGCUUGUCGGGUUGGGGUCUGGGAAGCCUUCUAGAAGCCCAGGCAGGGCUGGCUCCCCUGCUCAGAUGGUGGAAGGCGGCGUGUGCGGGGAGAGAGGAACGGGCGUGGCCAAGGCCAGCUGGCCGUGCCAGGUACAGGGGCCCACUGUCUCCCUGCUUCCUUAUUCCCAAGGUUGGCCUGGUCCAUUAAAGGAAAACUAGUUUAGGUCCUCUGUAUACCACCCCCCUUUCCAGUUUCCCCUUAAGUGGCUCUUAAUGAUGCUUUCAGGCUGAUUUUCUCCCAGUACUGGUGGAGAGGCUUGGGGAGGGUGGGUGGGAGGCACUGGAAUUGCUCCGUUAGGGCGUUCCAGGCUGAGGUGGGCUGCCCUGACCGCACAGCAGCGUCCCUUUUCUACCUGGGGGCUUCGGGAGCUGCUUCUGCCUGGGCGCACCCCCGGAGGGUGAUCCGACUGGGCUGGGGUGAGGCGGGCUGGUGCGCAGUGUGAGAGGAAGAGCCCCGCCCCGGGCCGGUGCACGUGAUGUGACUUGCUGCUGGGCCCGUGGGAGGGGCCCGAGGGAGGAGAGCCAGGCUGACUGAGCCCGGGGUUAGGAGCCUGGGCUCUGCGCCCGGCUCUCUGGCUCCUCUUGCUACUGUUUGAGGUGACCUUGUGAGCAUCUCUCUGUCUCAGUUUUCUCCUCUGUAGAAUGGGAUUAAUGAUAGCACCUACCUCAUAAGGUGGCUGGGGGGUUAAUUGUGUUAAUACUGACAGAGCACUUGGGACAGUGAGCUGGGGAGGGCAUCCCUGGCCGCUGACCUUCUAAUCAGAUUGUCAGGCUGAGGACCGGGGGCCUUCUGUAACUGGUGAGUGCUGGAGGUGUCGGCAGGGAGCCGCGUUUCAGUGCAUGGCACCCUCACCCAUACCGCCUUCCUCGCUUGGCUCGGGUCCAAAACCUGGGUGUGGCCUCUGAUCCCUCCCUCCGUCCCUCCCUGAGUAUCUCUUGGGCCCACCCACUUCCCUGUCCCCGCCACCACCUCCCUGGUCUGAGCCACCUUCGUCUCUUGCUUGGACCUUUGCGCGGCCCUCUGACUGGUCUCCGCUGACAUUUUGGCCCAUCUCGGAUCUGCUCGUCACGGUGCAAUUAGGAGUCUCUUUCCAAGAUGCAGGUGUAAUUAUGUGUAAACUAGUACCUGAUUCCUGCAUCCACCCUACCCCCACCCCUCAACCCUCAGCUGAAAUCAAAUAAAACCUCUCCCAUUGUUCUCAGGAGACACCGUCCUAACAUCCUAUGGGACCCCAUGCCCCUGCGGUAAUGCUGACCUCUGGCACCCCUCUCUUCUCCUCCUGCACCAGCCCCAGUGGCCAUUUUCCAGUGGCUUGAGCAGGCCUUCGUCCCUGACCCCUCUGCUUGGGUGGCACCACCCUCCCGACCAUCCCGGACCCCACACACGUGCGUUGGGUACCGUCCAUCUCGGUUUGCACCUGUUGUUCUGAUGUAUUUAUUAACAGCGCCUACCUUUAUUUACGAGUGCCCCAGUUUGGAUGAUAAACUUAGUGGUCCCCCUUUCACAUUUACAAUCUCUUCAUCUAAUUAAAAUUCCUCAGCUUUAAAAAUUCACUGACUUCCUCAAGGUAGUGGUCGGACAUACACCCUGGACCAGGUUAGGGACCCGUUUUAGCCUCAUGCCUUCAGAACUUUUCCUGUAUGCAGUGAAGCUCGGCUUGCAAAUAUAUACUUACUGAUACGAGUUUUUGAUUAACAUUUGUCAUCCUUGUUAGACCACAGGGUCCUUGAUUUAAGGGACUAUGUCUUGGGCUUCCCUGGUGGCGCAGUGGUUAAGAAUCCACCUGCCAAUGCAGGGGACAUGGGUUCGAGCCCUGGUCCGGGAAGAUCCCACAUGCCGCGGAGCAACUAAGCCCGUGCGCCACAACUGCUGAGCCUGUGCUCUAGAGCCCGUGAGCCACAACUACUGAUCCCAUGUGCUACAACUACUGAAGCCUAUGUGCCUGGAACCCGUGCCCCACAGCAAGAGAAGCCACCGCAGUGAGAAGCCUGCGCACCACAAUGAAGAGUAGCCCCUGCUCACCUCAACUAGAGAAAGCCCACACGCAGCGGCAAAGACCCAACACAGCCAAAAAAAGAAUAAAUAAAAUAAAUUUUAAAAAAAUUAAUAAAUAAGGGACUGUGUCUUUACUUGCCCAAAAUGUGAUCCCAGUUCCUGACACAGUCAGUGCUCAUCAGUGAGUGAAUGAACGAAUGAAUGAAUUUACCUUCUCCUGCUUACUGGCAGGGGGAGCCUGGAGCCUGCGUGGGUCAGGAGCAUGGGCAGUGGCCUGCCUUGAGGGAAGCUGCUGCCAUCGGGCCAAUCCAAGCCCAAACAAGCCGGUUGCCCACGCCCUGGCAUACACACCCCCUCACUUGGCUGCCCCUAUAAUUAUUCAUGACCUCUCUCAACGGGCUUUGUGUUUGGAAAGCCAAAAGAGACAGGAGUUCAAACCCUCUUUCCACCUCCCCAAAACUGAGACUUAGGAGAAAGAGUUGCCGGGCCCAUUCUGAAUCUCUAGGGAGCCACAAGGUCCAGGACCUUCUCGCAUGGCUGGAUGUGAGUGCUGGCAUGAUUCUCACCCAGUGUCCUGGGCUGCCCUCCCCGGUCCAGGCCCAGGGACUGCUUGGGGACAGCUAGCCGCACACAUCCCCAUGUGGUUCUCGGCAGACCUGGGACUGGUGCUGGCCGAUUCCUCAUUAUUCUCCAGCCUGAGCAAAGGUGGAAGGCUUACCUGGAAGAGCCGCAGCCCCCAGCAUAGUGGAAAGGGCCCACACAUUGGCAUCCUGUGGACCCCAGUUCAGAUCUCAGCUCUGCCUCUCACUAGCUGUGUGGCUAGGAAGGUUGCUUCCUCUAACCCUCGCUUUCCUCCCCUAACGCAGGAUUGUUGAGUGGAUUUGCUGAGAUGGUGCAUGCCUCACCCAGUGGAACUAACAGCCCACGUCUUUGAGCAACUCCAAGAUCUUAUUCCUUCUCUCUUCCCCUCCCCUUGGGGCUCCCAGAGGUCCACUUUGCCUUCCGUGUCCCCAUCUUGGAGUUGAGGGCUUAACACGGUACCUUCCUCUGGAACAAGGUUAGGGGGAGGCUGCGGUGCCCUUGGGCAGCCAGUGUUCUCUGCGGCCCCCUCUCCCACUCACUGCACACUUUCUGAGUUUAAGCCCGGUGCUGGGAGACAGAACGGGUGUGGAUCUCCAAGCUCCCAGGAGACUGUGAACACACCCACAGACAGGAGCCCCGUGUCCCACCCCAUCCCAGCAGUUAGUUGGCCAGAUCUGCCUACAGCUGCACUUCUUCCCAUCCUUCUGGAAAUGAGGAAGUUUCCAUAGACAUGUUUCUAUUCCUUAGCCUCUGCUCCCUGCUCCUGAUUCCCCUGGUGCCCUGUCCCUUGAGCCGGGCUGGCCGUGCUGAGGUGUUGGUCAGCCACCUGGCCAGCAGGCCCGCUGCGCUGGGCUGCCGACGCCCCAGGUCGCUGAUGGGUCUUAGUGGAGGCUGGGAGUGCAGGGACGGUGUUGGGCCACGUCCGCCUGGGCCUGGGUGGGGAUCUUCAUGGCCCACAGGUUGCCUGUGAUUUCUUCAGAAAAGGGUUUUGGGGUUUCUGUGCCGCUUUAUAAUGUGCUGAUCUGUGUCUGUAUUUGGGGAGAAGAAACUUUAUUUUCCUGGACCUCAGGUGAAGAGAAUUGGCUUAAUGAGGCCCCUCAGCUCAUGGCCCACUUGUGGGUCCACCCACGUGAGGCCACUGUGCGUCCAUCACGUUUCACCCCGCAGUCUCGCUACGAUGGGCACGUAGGGGGUCCCCAACCCCUUCCCUGCCAACACAGCUAACGGAACGAUGAACAUUCUCCCAUGGACCCCCGGGUUCACCAUGUGAGGAUUUCUUUGAGAGGAGAUUUCCCGGGUGGCUUGUUGGGCAGGUACGUGAUGAAUUUCCUGAUGUAGUGCUGGCUUGCUCUCCAGCAUGACUGCACAGCCCACACUUCCAGUCAGGCAUGAGGGCUGCUGGAUUCCUCAGCCACAGCGACAUUUGGGGUAAUCACCUCUCUAAUUGUUUACCAGUCUCUUAGGCGUAAAGGACAAAUUAUUGUUUUUUUUUGUUUUUGUUUUUUGCGGUACGCAGGCCUCUCACUGUUGUGGCCUCUCCCGUUGCAGAGCACAGGCUCCGGACGCGCAGGCUCAGCGGCCGUGGCUCAUGGGCCCAGCCACUCCACGGCAUGUGGGAUCUUCCCGGACCGGGGCAUGAACGCGUGUCCCCUGCAUCGGCAGACGGACUCUCAACCACUGCGCCACCAGGGAAGCCCCAAAUUAUUGUUUUAUAUGCAACUAAGGAGGAACUCUUAAAGUGCCCAGCCUCUCUGUUCCCUUCCUCCGUUCAGAGUUCCUGGAAGCAGAAACUUCCUCUUAGGCAUGGGGUGCUUGCUGUCAUGGCUGAGAGUCAUGGAGGUUCUCUGCAGAAAGCCCCCCACUCCCCAGGGAGUGGCGGUUUAGAGGGAGUCUGUUAAUGCCCCAACCUCCCCACCCCCACCCAGAGUGCACAUCACUCGUGGGAUUCCUUGCGCCUGGUGAUGCUUACACAGCUGCUGGGUUCUGAGGUUGUGCCCCCUGCCGCCUGCUUUCUGCUUCCGCUCUGGCAUCCUGAAGGCUCUGCGUUCUCUGGAGCUUUGACCUUUCCCUUGGGAGGCUGCGAGUCUGCCUGCAUUCCGGUGUGAGGUCAUGUGGUGGUCCCUCGGGAGGGAGGUGGAUGACAUCAUAGCACUGGCAUGGGGUCUGGGCUGAGGUCGUCUUACUGAGCUUAUGUCCUUGCUUGGGUCAAGGAGCCUAGGGCCAGGGAAUGCUGGAGCACAGUGCCGGCUGGUGCAUGCUGGCCCAGACUCAAGCACACACUGGGGAUGAAGGCGACCUCUGUAACCCCAGGAUGGUGCCAGGUGACCACUUAGUACACAUGGGCAAUUCCAUGGGCCCCGAGUAGUUCUCUCUCACUCCUUUCUGUGAACAUCCUUUUUCAUUUCUUUCUUGUAUUUUAAUAAUGAACUCUAGAUAUUAUUAACAACUUACCAUCUGCUUGGCUUUUUGCAAAUGUUAGCUCAUUGAAACCCCUUAAUACCCCAGUGAGAAAGGUAUUAACCCCUUUUACAGAUGAGAAGACUGAGGUUCAGAAAGGUCAAGAACUUGCUCAGGUCCCAGUGUUACUAAGUGGCAGACCCAGAUCACAUCCAAGUCAUCUGCGCCUAAUCCCAUCCUCGUAACCGUCAAGCCCGUGGUCCUCAGUGGGAUCUCUGGACCAGCAGCAUCUGUACCACCUGGAUUCUUGUGGGAAAUGCAAUUUCUCUGCCUGUCCAGAACUAUGGAAUCAGAAAUCCGGGGGGAUUCAUAAAUCAGUUUUAACGAGCCCUCCAGGUGAUUUUGAUGCACCUUCAAGUCUGAGAACUACCACAUGGAGCUAUUCUGCUCUCCUUUUUCUCCUUUAUUUUUUCUGCCCUGCGCUUGUGUCAUUGGGCCAGUCCGUGUAAGCACAGACUUUGGGCCUUGGCUUCUCUUCAUGGGUUUCAUGCCCACUCUGAGAGGUACAGUGUCUGUCCCUACUGGGUCUGGGGCCUCCAGGAACCCCUCCCAAGUCCCUGAAAGCAUUUGAUAGAGCUGAUAUCUCCGCUGCCUCCAGCUGCAAGCCUGGCGACAGUGGCCACCACGGGGGUCAGAGUUCCCAGCACUGUGCCAGAGGAGAUGCCUCGAGAGGGCAGGGGUCCCAGCAGUGGACUGUGGGACGGGCCAGAACAGAAGCUCCAGUCCAGCAGGUUAUUCAGGGACACAGAGAAGAGACCUGGAAAUAUUCUUUAUCCAAGCAGUGUCUCUUUCCUUCUUGCAAAUUUGCAAUAAUGGUUUGGCCUCUGGAGAGGCCACAUGGGGGGCUUGGAGCCUUGUUCCCAGUCAGCAAAUCACGCUCAGUAGAAAUGACCCUGGCAGGAGGAGGGGUGCUAGCUGCACUCGAUUUAACUUCUUGAGCCCCCACUGUCAGUCAGGUAUCGUGCUAUUUGAUUCUUACCAUAACCCGGGGGGGGGGGGCAGAUUGAUUAUUCCCAUUUCGCAGAUGAGACCAUCGAGGCUUCAGGCUGUGAAGUUGAGGGUCACAGCUCAACCAUACAGAGGAGUCAGGUUAGAUGCUCAAGGCAGCCAGACCACAGCUCCCCAUAUGUUAUGAAUACCAGGCUGGGCCAGAUUCUUGUCAUGCGGGGAAGUUCUCUGUGGGGUUGAGUGGCCCACGGCUCUCAGCAUCGUGCCAGAGAAACCAGAUGACCUCACAUGUGAAUGACUUUUCCUUCUUUGGGGAAGGAAUGUGUGGGCCAUUCCUGUGAGCUGCAGCCCACAAGACCUCUGUGCUGUCAGACCCACAAGGGCCAGGAUCCGACUCCAGACAUGGGGGAGGUGUCAGAGGCAGGCCCAACUGGCCUCCGUAAGUAGUGUCAAGUGUGCCUAGGAGGAGCCAACAGGCCUUUGAUGGUUAAGCAGAUGUCCUGGGGCGGGACCUGCUCUUCAGAGUAACCACUCCCUGGGGAGGCAUCGACAAGGCCAGUGGCACCUGAAGCCCACACAGUGCAGGCCUGGCUCGAGUGCUACAUAUGCCCGAAGAUGAGACCAGACCUCCCACCUUGGAAUCUUAGUCUCAGUUACCUCAGUACCUGGAGAGAGCGAGGGUCUGGGGCCUGCCUUUGAGCCUGGUUUCUUGCCAGUGGGCCAAAUGGAUAAACAAAACAAAACAAAAACCCCUUGAUAAAAGACUUAGUGGGGUUCUGGAAUAUUUCAGUUUUUUUUUUUUAAUAAUAGCUUUAUUGAGAUAUAAUUCACGUACUGUACAAUUCACCCAUUUAAAGUGUACAAUGUAAAGUUUUUAGCAUAGUCACAGACGUGUGCGGCCAUUACCGCAGUCAAUUUUAGAUCAUUUUCAUCACUUCUAAAAGAAACCCCAUCCCCCUUAGCUAUCACGCCCCCGCCAGCCCUAAGCUACCACUACUCUAUUUCUGCCUCUGUAGAUACAUGUUUGGGUUUUAACAUCCAGUGAGCACUUAGUCUGCAUGUGGCACUGGGCUAAGCCUUCUGUUUUAGCUCACACAACCCUCCCUCAGGAUAGCCGCACGGGGUAGACACUCUUUUCUGUCUUUGUCUUACUGAUGUGGAGACUGAGGCUCAGCGAGUCCAGGAUCCCAAAGUCCAUAGCGACAGAGCCGGCCGCGGGCUGGACCAUGGCUGUGGCUCUUCGGUCCCCAGGAGAGGCCAGGCUGUGGAUGGUGGCAGACUGGCGGGGGCAGCUGAUGCUCCUUGGCCAGGAGCUGAGAGGACAGUCCUUGUUUCUUCACUGGAGUCUGGCGCCACCUGACUUUUAAAACAGCCCUGAAUUCUCUCAGGAGCUCCAGGUUCUGCCUGCACCUGCGGGAAGGCACUGGGGUGCUUCCCAAGGGCCUUGGUGAGAAGGGGUGCCUGGGCCUCGCGGAGGGGCUGGCAGCUCUCCUCUCUCCCACUAGGGUGUGGUCAUUAGGUCAAAUCACCUCCUAGAAUGAGCCGUUUGGCCACCUGUGCUUUGGCCUUGUGGCCUUGGUGACCCUCCGGGCAUCUGGUGCUGUGUCUCCUGAAAUGGGCUGCAGGUGGACAUGAACCGGAAACACAGGCCCCUGUUCCUCCCACUCCUGUUCUCACCCUGGCCAGGGGCUGGUCUCAGGGUUUCCUCAUCAGUCAGUAGGAGAGAAAUAACAGACCUCUUUCUUCCCACCUGUAGAGCUCUGGGAAUGAUUAACUUUGAAUAGAAAGGGAAUAGGAAGUGAGAGCAGUAGGACAGAGAACAGUUAUGAGGCUCCUGCCCUUUUCUGACGGCUGGCUAUUUUGCUUCCAUCACCCUCAUUCUGACAACAACCCCACAAACUUGUGAUAUUAUGUAUCCCCAUUUGUCAGAUGAAGUAAUUGAGGCCUAGACAGGUUCAUGAAAGCCACACAGCCACUGAGUGACAAAGGCCGGCUGGAUUAACGUUUUUUAAGCAUCUGUUGUGAACAGAGCACCAGCCCGUCUCUAAGUACAUGAGAUCUGAUUUGGUCCUCUUCAAUGCUGUGCCGUCAUAGGUCUUGUUAUCCCCAUUUUACAGAUGGGCAUCCUGAGGCUGAGAUUGAGAAUCCUGUACAAAGAGACAGAGCUAACGAGAGGUGUAGGCCGGGGGCCCAGCUCUUAACAGUUACAAAGUCCAGCUCUUUUGGGAGCCUCCAGCCACCUGCCUCUGAGUUUCCAGGGCCCCAACAUUCGCAUGGUUUUGGGGGCCAGCGGUUAGAGAGGUGCCCUUUCAGAGCAGAGGAAACCGCCUGGUGGUUCAGCACCACUCCCAGGGGUGGAAAGUAAACAGAUCUGGGUGGAGAUGUUCUUCAGGACUCUGCUUUUCAUCUGUGAGUGAACCAGCUGACUGCUUGCUUUGAAAGGCUGGCAGCCAGCCCUUGAUAAGUUAACCAGAUACUUCUAUUUACGUUACCGGAACACUGGGCAUCUGAGAUCACUGCUGGCAGGCCUUUGCUUAGACAAACCACCCAGUGCCCACGCCCUGGCCAGGCUGGCCACGUGCGGGGGUCAGAGGGACUCCACGGUGGCCUGAGGGAGAGAGAGUGCUCCCUGGCUGGUCCACAGUGACCUCCCCCGGGCCAGCAAAUGCUGCAGAGACCUUGGCCCUGAGCUCUCAAGGGGCCCUGGCCUGACGCUUGCGCAUGGUGGCCAAGAGUGGCAGAGGAGGGUGGGCUGUGACUGACAGCCAUGGCAGGGCGCCUGCCCAGAAGGGUGUGGAGAUCGCAGGGCCGCUGAACUGAUUUCUCAGUUGAUGAGCCUAGACCAGGACCAGGGUCCUGGUUGCUGUACUCCAGGGAGGGGAAGUCAUCCGAUGAGAAGCCAGCUUGUACAGGAAGCCCUGUACCACCUUCAAGAGGCUUAGAAACUUGCUUGGGUUUUUCUGGGCCACUGGGCCAGGGGGUACUGCCCUUCAUCUCCCCCCGCAGUUAGCAGUUUGCUGUCUGUUGGGGUGGACAUGUGGGUGUAAUUGCUGCUUUAUCUUCAUGUCCUGGUCCCUAAUUAUGACUUUGCUUAUAAUAGUUUACACUGAUAAGGCACUUCAAAGUUUUUCACAACCCUUUCUCUAUAUGAUAUAUUCUUCUAUUACUAAUUCUUUUAAAUAGAUGGAAGAAUUUUUCCUUUUUCAUCUCUUCCUAUUCUUUUAAAAUUUGAAAACAUUUGUUUUUUCCCCCCCGAGAAUUCAUGGGCCCUGACCCCCCAAUCCCAAGUAAUCCCAGAGAAAUGGGAAGUUCCCUCUAUCUCAUCCAGAGGUCUGACUCAGCAGAUAAACAUAUACACAGACUUUUCUUAGAUUUGCAUGGCUUUUUGUUUGUUUGUUUUAACAGAUAAUGACUGCACAUGGUAUAAAAUUCCAAGGAAACAGAAGGGUAUUCUGUGACAAGAAAACGCCCCACCCUCCCCUGUCAGGAGCCUCCUAGAUCCCCUCCCUGGAGGCAGCCACCGUGCCAAGUCCUGUGUGUCCUUCCAGGGAUAUGCUGGCAUAAAGCUUUUAUGGACUGUCCAGCAAACUAAUAACAGGUGUCUUUUGGUGAGGGGCAGGCGGUCUUGAGACCGAAACCCUGAUCAUGCGUUGAGCCGUUGAGGUGAAACUGCCCCUGUGGGAUUUAUUGGCCUCUGACAAGGAGCAGAGCCCAUCCAUCGCAAUCAGCCCUACAUGGGAGCUGAAGAUUGACCCUGGGUGCUCUACUUGGCCGUGUCUUUUACUUUUGCACGUUAUGAUGGGACGAGUUGCUGGGCUCUGACCUGCAGGGUCCGGGCCUCAUUUGGGGUUACACAGCUGGAAGGGGUUGAGCUGAUACAUACGAGGUCACACGCAUGCCUGGCUGAGCCAGGGCAGAGCCCAGGUUUCCUGACCCCUGUGCUCUGAACAGUAACUCCCCUGGAGUGAACCGGGGCUGGUGUCGAGUGUCAGGAUCCCAGGGGAGCAGGAGGAUGUGCCUGGGAGAGGUGUGGUCGGCCCGCGAGCCUGGGGCCUGGUGGCCAGCGAGGUGGCAGUGCUGUUCCCUCCACCCGCUGAGCCGGCCUCAUUUUGGCUGCAGGUGGGUUGUCUUGUUUACUCAGGACCAAUGGAGAGGUCAGCCAGGUGCGGAUGGCCUGGAUUGUGCGCUGAGGGGAGUACGCGUCACCGAGGAGUGCUAGCAGGGAGAAGGGCAGGGAGGAGAUGGGGAUUGCCAAUCACAUUUGCAGCCGGCUGGGCAAGGAAAGAAAGUCAUUGCAAUUCAGUUACAGGAGCACAGGCACUGCUUGCGUCAGGAUGGGUUUUGUUUCCAUCGUUUUCUCUCGUUCCUGUGAUCGCUCACAUGGUUUUAAGCCUGUGGUACAUACAGUUUUGUAUCCUGCGUUCUUGGUAAUUACAUAUCAGCCUUUUCCCAUAAUAAUAUAUAGUUUCAGAACCCAUCAUUUUGGCCGUCUAGUGUUCCAUUAAGUGGAUGAAUCAUAAUUUAUUUAACUAAUUCUUUAUUAAUAGAAUUUGGGGCUAUUUCUAAUUGUUUCCUCUCCAGUAAUGCUGGCGAGGAUGUCUUUGUGCCCAUGACCCUUCUCUUUCUUGAGCGAUAUUUACCCAGGAUAGUGUCCCAGCAUUGGGCUAAAGGUUAUGCCCGUUUUAGCUCCCCUCGGCGAGUUGCCUUCCACUGGAGUUGUACCGAACCAGCCAGCCUGCUGUGACGUGUUGCGGCUUGGCCACUGUACCCACCCUUUGAUGGGAAUUAGCAGAAACUUAUUUUUGCAGAUGUAAUAAAUGAAAAUUGGUACCUUCGUUUGAACUCACAAAACAUGGUGGUGUGUGUGCACGUGUGUGUGUGUAUGGGGGGGGACGCACAUCUGGUUGCCGUCCCUGGUGACAGGUGUGGGUCCUUGAUCAGCCCAAGCAAGGAGAGCUCCUGUGGCCCCUCACGGAACAUUCUCUCAGUUUUUGCUAGCAGAUUCCCCGAUGGCAGACGCCGGUGGUGGUCUGCGAGGAGUGUGAACCGUGCUGGGCACAGCUGUCUGCUCACGUUAACACACCAUUCGUUCCUGUGUGGUGACUCUUUUGUUAGGAGACUUAGAAAGUUUUCACGUGUUCCCACUGUGGAACCAGAGACCCUGUCAGUCUUAAUUCAGAUUUAUCCUGCCCCUAUCUUUUGAGGGGCUGUGGGAUGUCUUAUUUUUAAGUUGGACCAGCAUUUACAAAUGAGAAGACUCACAUGAAAGUCCAGAUUUCUGGCUCCCCUUCAUUGGAGGUCUGGCACCUGAGGACGCACGUUCCCAUAUGAGCCAAGGAGAGACGCCUUCUGUCCCCUCACCACACCUGCCCUGAUACCGAGAUUGUGUCCUAACUGCCAUUAUCACCGUGUAUGCUCGGGACCAGUUCUCUGUGCCCAUGUUGCUCUCCUGAGUGGAAACCCAAAGGAUAAGCCCGAGAGGGCCACUGUUUCAAGAGAAAUCCAUGAGCGCACAUGGAUGCAAGGGCGCUCGCCAGUCCCACUUUCCGUACACUUUCCCCUUUGGCCUUUUAUUAAACCUCUUGUGGCUUAGUUUUCUCAUCUGUAAAAUGGGGAAAAUAAUAGCACCUGCCUUGUAAUGUUGUUUUGAAGAUGGAGUUACGGGGGGUAAAGCACUCAGAAGAGGGUCUAGCAAGAGCAACUGCUGUUAUUAUUAUGAUUAUUAUUAAUGGCAUGUGUGCUUGUCUUCUCCAGACUAGAUUCUCAACCAGGGGUGAUUUUUGGUUGUCACAACUUGAGGUGGAGGAUGUUACCUGCAUUUAGUGGGUAGGGUCCAGGAAUGCUGCUAACCAUCCUAUCUGUGAUGCAUAAGAUAGGCCCCAAACCCUUAACAAAGAAGUAACUAACCCAAAGUAUCAAUGGUAUUGAGGUUGAGAAACCCUGCUCGGACAUUUGAGUGUGUGACUCUUGGUCUAACUGAACUCUUCAAACACAUCUCUAACCCAGCUUUUCAAGGGCUACCUUGGGCUCUCGAAGAAUCAGCAUUAUAACUUAGCUCAGCCCCCAGGGGGAGCUUGAAUCCUCUCCCAGCACCCUCACCAAACACAUGCCUUUGGUGGGUAAUGCACUGUAUACCCAGUGUUUGGUCUGUUCUUUAUUACAUUGAACUCUAGUCUUCCCUGCAGCUUCCUAUCCUUGAUCCUAAUAAUAGUAGCUACCAUUUAUUGAGCCUUAUGUGUGGGUGAUUGUACUUAGCACUUGCCAUGUGUUGCUGCGCUGAUCCACACCACCCUUCGAGGCAGGUUCUAUUAUUAUACCCAUUUUACAGAUGUGGAGAUUGAGGGUUGGAGAAGUGACAUCACUUGCCCAAGUUUACUCAGGGCCAGAGAUGGGAUUAGAUCCAGGUGAGUCUUGCUCUAGAAUCCACGUUCCUCACCAUUACUGCCUGCCUUGUUCUGCCUGGGGCUUCACUCAACAAGUUUAUUCGCUCGUCCAUGGGAGGAUCUUUCAAAUAUUUAGGAUGAGUCCCUGAGUCCACUCUUCUCUCUUCCUGGUCAAAGAGCCCCAGUUCCCAGAAUUCUCCUCAAAGACAUGUUUCUGAUCUGCUUACCAUCCAGAACGAUCUCCCACCUCUGGACAACCAGCUACCUGCCUUGGGGCUAUGCUCCCUUUGCCUCUCUCCAUCACGCUGCCCCCAGAGAAGCUGCCCAUCCCAUGCCCAUCCCAUGCCAGUUGAUGGUCCAUCAACUCAAGGCUCUCUGUGCCAGUGCUGACCGGAGUCACCGAGGUUCCCUCUGGGUGGUGUUUUCACUUCACAGUGACCUGUUUUUCAGCGACAUGCCACAAGAUUCAGCCCACCUGUCUGCCCUUGGUUCUGCUGUUCCCUUCCAGCACCCCACGCACACCUGCACCUGAAAUCCACGUCAUCCUGGUGGAGCAGAAAAGUAUAUGGGACUGGGAGUAAGGAGGCCAGGUUGUGAACAUACCCAGCUGUGUGGCCUGGGAAAAGUCACUCACCCUCUCUGGUCCAUGUGUCCUCAGUUGUAAAGUGAGGGUUUUGGCUCACUGAGGGUUUUGGCUCAGGUGUGCCAAGCAUCUCUUCCAGCUCUAACAUUCUUUGAUGACAUGUGUUGGACAGCAUGAACUUGUAAUAUCUCUAA